GGAAUAUUGCACAAUGGGCGGAAGCCUGAUGCAGCGACGCCGCGUGAGGGAUGACGGCCUUCGGGUUGUAAACCUCUUUCAGCAGGGACGAAGCUUUUUGUGACGGUACCUGCAGAAGAAGCACCGGCCAACUACGUGCCAGCAGCCGCGGUAACACGUAGGGUGCGAGCGUUGUCCGGAAUUAUUGGGCGUAAAGAGCGUGUAGGCGGCUUGGUAAGUCUGCUGUGAAACCUUGGGGCUCAACCCCAAGCGUGCAGUGGAUACUGUCAAGCUAGAGGAUGGUAGAGGCCAGUGGAAUUCCCGGUGUAGCGGUGAAAUGCGCAGAUAUCGGGAGGAACACCAGUAGCGAAGGCGGCUGGCUGGGCCAUUCCUGACGCUGAGACGCGAAAGCUAGGGGAGCGAACAGGAUUAGAUACCCUGGUAGUCCUAGCCGUAAACGAUGAACACUAGGUGUGGGGGGAGUCGAAUCCCUCCGUGCCGAAGCCAACGCGUUAAGUGUUCCGCCUGGGGAGUACGGCCGCAAGGCUAAA
This 530-nucleotide ribosomal RNA is filed under the name uncultured bacterium. Its description in RNAcentral is "bacterial SSU rRNA". It matches the Rfam family "Bacterial small subunit ribosomal RNA", at positions 358 to 898 of the family's 1533-position model. The record is from RNAcentral.